GAUGAAGAACGUAGCGAAAUGCGAUAAGUAAUGUGAAUUGUAGAAUUCAGUGAAUCAUCGAAUCUUUGAACGCACAUUGCGCCCGCCAGUAUUCUGGCGGGCAUGCCUGUUCGAGCGUCAUUUCAACCAUCAAGCUCUGCUUGCGUUGGGGAUCCGCGGCUGCCCGCGGUCCCUCAAAACCAGUGGCGGGCUCGCUAGUCACACCGAGCGUAGUAACUUUACAUCGCUAUGGUCGUGCGGCGGGUGCUUGCCGUAAAACCCCCCAAUUUUUAAGGUUGACCUCGGAUCAGGUAGGAAUACCCGCUGAACUUAAGCAUAUCAAUAAGCGGAGGA
This 333-nucleotide unclassified non-coding RNA is filed under the name soil metagenome. Its description in RNAcentral is "partial contains 5.8S ribosomal RNA, internal transcribed spacer 2, and large subunit ribosomal RNA". The stretch from base 1 to 120 matches the Rfam family "5.8S ribosomal RNA", at positions 35 to 154 of the family's 154-position model. The record is from RNAcentral.